UUGGAGCAGCGGUGCAUUCGCUAUGUUGACAACUUUAGUUCAGGUCAUAGGGGAGCCACAUCCACUGAGUAUUUGUUCUUGCACUUGCUCUUGUUCUUGUUCUUGUCAAUGAAACUUUUUCUUGGAUAUUUGUUUGGUGACCUCUUGGAGGGGAAUGAAUACUAUGUUGCUGGUUAUGUUGAGUGUAGGUAUUUUCUGAAGGCGCGAUAUGCUGUGAUCUUCUUGUACCGGAGUUUGUCUCUUUAAACCAA
Molecule: non-coding RNA, 251 nt
Organism: Arachis ipaensis
Lineage: Eukaryota; Viridiplantae; Streptophyta; Magnoliopsida; Fabales; Fabaceae
Source: RefSeq, a predicted model, not a curated record